Molecule: ribosomal RNA, 274 nt
Filed under: uncultured bacterium
Lineage: Bacteria
Description: partial 16S ribosomal RNA
Rfam family: Bacterial small subunit ribosomal RNA
Source: RNAcentral
CUACGAAGGGGGCUAGCGUUGUUCGGAAUUACUGGGCGUAAAGCGCGCGUAGGCGGACUGAUCAGUUGGGGGUGAAAUCCCAGGGCUUAACCCUGGAACUGCCUCCAAUACUGUCAGUCUUGAGUUCGGGAGAGGUGAGUGGAAUUCCUAGUGUAGAGGUGAAAUUCGUAGAUAUUAGGAAGAACACCAGUGGCGAAGGCGGCUCACUGGCCCGAUUCUGACGCUGAGGCGCGAAAGCGUGGGGAGCAAAUAGGAUUAGAAACCCUUGUAGUCC